This 573-nucleotide ribosomal RNA is filed under the name uncultured Candida. RNAcentral's name for it is "eukaryotic LSU rRNA". The stretch from base 207 to 360 matches the Rfam family "5.8S ribosomal RNA". Lineage: Eukaryota; Fungi; Ascomycota; Saccharomycetes; Saccharomycetales. The record is from RNAcentral.
UUGGUCAUUUAGAGGAAGUAAAAGUCGUAACAAGGUUUCCGUAGGUGAACCUGCGGAAGGAUCAUUACUGAUUUGCUUAAUUGCACCACAUGUGUUUUUCUUUGAAACAAACUUGCUUUGGCGGUGGGCCCAGCCUGCCGCCAGAGGUCUAAACUUACAACCAAUUUUUUAUCAACUUGUCACACCAGAUUAUUACUAAUAGUCAAAACUUUCAACAACGGAUCUCUUGGUUCUCGCAUCGAUGAAGAACGCAGCGAAACGCGAUACGUAAUAUGAAUUGCAGAUAUUCGUGAAUCAUCGAAUCUUUGAACGCACAUUGCGCCCUCUGGUAUUCCGGAGGGCAUGCCUGUUUGAGCGUCGUUUCUCCCUCAAACCGCUGGGUUUGGUGUUGAGCAAUACGACUUGGGUUUGCUUGAAAGACGGUAGUGGUAAGGCGGGAUCGCUUUGACAAUGGCUUAGGUCUAACCAAAAACAUUGUUUGCGGCGGUAACGUCCACCACGUAUAUCUUCAAACUUUGACCUCAAAUCAGGUAGGACUACCCGCUGAACUUAAGCAUAUCAAUAAGCGGAGGA